RNAcentral lists this ribosomal RNA (253 nucleotides) under uncultured bacterium. Its description in RNAcentral is "partial 16S ribosomal RNA". It matches the Rfam family "Bacterial small subunit ribosomal RNA", at positions 524 to 776 of the family's 1533-position model. The record is from RNAcentral.
UACGAAGGGAGCUAGCGUUGUUCGGAAUCACUGGGCGUAAAGCGCACGUAGGCGGACGUGUCAGUCAGGGGUGAAAUCCCGGAGCUCAACUUCGGAACUGCCUUUGAUACAGCACGUCUUGAGUCCGGAAGAGGUGGGUGGAAUUCCUAGUGUAGAGGUGAAAUUCGUAGAUAUUCGCAAGAACACCAGUGGCGAAGGCGGCUCACUGGCCCGAUACUGACGCUGAGGCACGAAAGCGUGGGGAGCAAACAGG